RNAcentral lists this long non-coding RNA (1222 nucleotides) under Anas platyrhynchos platyrhynchos (common mallard). RNAcentral describes it as "lncRNA (ENSAPLG00000022671.1)". The record is from RNAcentral. Lineage: Eukaryota; Metazoa; Chordata; Aves; Anseriformes; Anatidae.
AUGAGAACAGAGGCAGGUGCUGAAUUGAAGAAAUUAUUAAACCCUUUAACCAAAAGCUCACAGGGAAGCAAAGAUCAUUCCAGAGUGGCCUGGUUCCUCUGCAUCUCUGUCCUCACCAGCAUUCUGAAGCUGGAUAUCAAGUUACAAACAUUACAUCAUUUGCAAAAGCCUCCACCGACUGAAAGCCACGUUAAUACUGAAGACCACGACGUUGAUUCAUGAGGAGUUUAGCCUCUUCACAGGAACUCUGUUUGCAGUAUCAGAUCUAUGCAUUUUUACUGGUGUUGAGGCAAAUCUCAGAGGAGUUGUAGUUUCUGUUUGAGUAAUCCCCAAAGAUAAAACUUCUUAUUGGAAAUGGGUUUGAACUUCUGCAGAGCUUCACUCUUCUUCUAGCAGCUAUCAUCACCACAUCUAUUUUAUUUCUCCAAUCAUGCUGCUCUCUCAUCCUAGAUUUGUCUAAGAUUUAUCUGUCAGCUUUAUCUGCCUCUAAAUUCAUUUCAGAUCUCUAGCCGAUUCUCUCAGGCAUUCAUGAUAAAUAUUAUUCUCUGUGUUCUUCAUGCUCCUUUUUCCUCCCACUUUGCUUUAUAUGUCUCACUUUAAAGUCUGUUCUACUGACCUGCCUGAAAUCCUAUAUUUUGAUAGAAUUGGAGUACAAACUUCCUCAGCAAUGGUCACUAAAGCACUGGAUAGGCAGUUGGGAGAAUAUUUAUCUUGUAUUAAUUGUACAAAUAUUCAGCUUGGUCUAAGACCCUCUCUAGUAUUUUGAACUAUCUAGUCCAUGCUGCAUGUGUUCAGAGGGUUAGAGAUACUGGCGUAAUCAAUCCCACUGUGAAUAUUUGCACUGUCCAGUACUUGCAAUCUAUUCAGGGUAAACAGUUGUCUGCAAAUCCCCACUGCAGUAAGGUUUCACGAGAUAAGCUAAUAGCAUGUCCCCAGUGCUGGGGAAACCUUGGCAUAGAGAAAGCUUGAAAAAAUAUAUAAUAAUAAUAAUAAGGAAAAGGCUUUGAGAUUGAAGGGGAGGAAAAAGGAGAAAAGCACAUUUGGAAUUUGACUGUCAUACUGCGUAACAGGAGCUGAACAGAUACAGUGUUUUCUGAAACCAUUCAAGUGAUAAAAAGAGUGUUUGGAGACAACAGUAUGUACAGCUUUCAGCUAAUGGAGGGACUUGACUGUUUUCCUCUUCUCCCAGAGAAGAAAUUCAUUGCUUUUCUGGACAUGUAAG